This 406-nucleotide ribosomal RNA is filed under the name uncultured bacterium. Its description in RNAcentral is "partial 16S ribosomal RNA". It matches the Rfam family "Bacterial small subunit ribosomal RNA", at positions 30 to 526 of the family's 1533-position model. The record is from RNAcentral.
AUUGAACGCUGGCGGCAGGCCUAACACAUGCAAGUCGAGCGAGCGGCGGACGGGUGAGUAAUGUCUGGGAAACUGCCCGAUGGAGGGGGAUAACUACUCGAAACGGUAGCUAAUACCGCAUACCAUCAGAUGUGCCCAGAUGGGAUUAGCUAGUAGUUGGGGUAACGGCUCACCCAGGCGACGAUCCGUAACUGGUCUGAGAGGAUGAUCAGUCACACUGGAACUGAGACACGGUCCAGAAUCCUACGGUAGGCAGCAGUGGGGAAUAUUGGACAAUGGGCGAAAGCCUGAUCCAGCCAUGCCGCGUGUAUGAAGAAGACCUUCGGGUUGUAAAGCACUUUCAGCGGGGAGGCGUUACCCGCAGAAGAAGCACCGGCUAACUCCGUGCCAGCAGCCGCGGUAAUUC